Molecule: ribosomal RNA, 1329 nt
Filed under: Lysinibacillus halotolerans
Lineage: Bacteria; Bacillati; Bacillota; Bacilli; Caryophanales; Bacillaceae
Description: bacterial SSU rRNA
Rfam family: Bacterial small subunit ribosomal RNA
Source: RNAcentral
CAGUCGAGCGGACUUGAUGGGAGCUUGCUCCUUGCCAAUUUACCGCCGAACGGUUAAUUACCACUUGGCCAACUGGCCUAUUAUUUGGGAUUACUUCCGGAAACCCGGGCUUAUUCCCAAAAAUACCUUUUUGCUCCCGGCUUAAUGGUUAAAGAAGGGUUUACCCUAUCCCUAUAGGAUGGGCCCCCGGCCCAUUACCUAUUUGGUGAGGUAACGGCUCACCAAGGCAACAAUCCUUACCCAACCUGAAAGGGUGAUCGGCCACCCUGGAACUGAAACACGGCCCAAACUCCUACGGAAGGCACCAUUAGGGAAUCUUCCACAAUGGGCAAAAGCCUGAUGGACCAACCCCCCGUGAUUGAAAAAGGUUUUCGAAUCGUAAAACUCUGUUGUAAGGGAAAAACAAUUACAUUAUUAACUGGUUGUACCUUGACGGUACCUUAUUAAAAAGCCACGGCUAACUACUUGCCACCACCCCCGGUAAUACUUAGGUGGCAACCGUUGUCCGGAAUUAUUGGGCUUAAACCCCCCCCAGGUGGUCCUUUAAUUCUAAUGUGAAACCCCACGGUUCAACCGUGAAGGGUCAUUGAAAACUGGGGAACUUGAUUGCAAAAAAGGAAAUUGAAAUUCCAAUUGUACCGUUGAAAUGCUUAAAAAUUUGAAGAAACACCAUUGGCAAAGGCAACUUUCUGGUCUGUAACUGACACUGAGGCCCGAAACCUUGGGAACCAAACAGGAUUAAAUACCCUGGUAUUCCACCCCGUAAACAAUAAUUGCUAAUUGUUAGGGGGUUUCCGCCCCUUAUUGCUGCACCUAACGCAUUAACCACUCCGCCUGGGGAGUACGGUCGCAAAACUGAAACUCAAAGGAAUUGACGGGGGCCCGCACAACCGGUGGAACCAUGUGGUUUAAUUCGAAGCAACCCGAAAAACCUUACCAGGUCUUGACAUCCCAUUGACCGCCAUGGAAACAUGGUUUUCCCUUCGGGGACGUGGUGACAGGUGGUGCAUGGUUGUCGUCAGCUCCUGUCCUGAAAUGUUGGGUUAAGUCCCGCAACGAGCCAACCCUUGUUCUUAGUUGCCAUCAUUUAAUUGGGCACUCUAAGGAAACUGCCGGUGACAACCGGAGGAAAGGUGGGGAUGACGUCAAAUCAUCAUGCCCCUUAGAACUGGGCUACCACGUGCUACAAUGGACGGUACAACGGUUGCCAACCCCCGAGGGGGAGCAAUCCGAAAAACCGUUUCCAUUUCGGAUUUAGGGUGCAAUUCCCCCAUUGAAACCGGAAUCCUUUAAUACCGGAUACCAUUGCCCCGGGGAAACUUUCCCGGG